AAGUCGUAACAAGGUUUCCGUAGGUGAACCUGCGGAAGGAUCAUUAACGAAUAACUAGAUGUGGUUGUAGCUGGCUUCUAGGAGCAUGUGCACGCCCGUCUUCUUAUCUUUCCACCUGUGCACCAAAUGUAGGCUUGGAUAACUCUCGCCCUCGGGCGGAUGCGAGGAUUGUCUUCGGACUCUCCUCGAAUUUCCAAGUCUAUGUCUUUCACAAACCCCAAUGAAAAACGAAGAAUGUAGUCAAUGGGCUUUCAGCCUAUAAAACAAUAUACAACUUUCAGCAACGGAUCUCUUGGCUCUC
This 301-nucleotide unclassified non-coding RNA is filed under the name Narcissea cordispora. RNAcentral's name for it is "Coprinus cordisporus partial internal transcribed spacer region". The stretch from base 1 to 46 matches the Rfam family "Eukaryotic small subunit ribosomal RNA", at positions 1786 to 1831 of the family's 1831-position model. Lineage: Eukaryota; Fungi; Basidiomycota; Agaricomycetes; Agaricales; Psathyrellaceae. The record is from RNAcentral. RNAcentral also lists the same sequence under 1 other name.